Molecule: ribosomal RNA, 422 nt
Filed under: uncultured Clostridium sp.
Lineage: Bacteria; Bacillati; Bacillota; Clostridia; Eubacteriales; Clostridiaceae
Description: bacterial SSU rRNA
Rfam family: Bacterial small subunit ribosomal RNA
Source: RNAcentral
UGGGGAAUAUUGCACAAUGGGGGAAACCCUGAUGCAGCAACGCCGCGUGAGUGAUGACGGUCUUCGGAUUGUAAAGCUCUGUCUUUAGGGACGAUAAUGACGGUACCUAAGGAGGAAGCCACGGCUAACUACGUGCCAGCAGCCGCGGUAAUACGUAGGUGGCAAGCGUUGUCCGGAUUUACUGGGCGUAAAGGGAGCGUAGGCGGAUUUUUAAGUGGGAUGUGAAAUACCCGGGCUUAACCUGGGUGCUGCAUUCCAAACUGGAAGUCUAGAGUGCAGGAGGGGAAAGCGGAAUUCCUAGUGUAGCGGUGAAAUGCGUAGAGAUUAGGAAGAACACCAGUGGCGAAGGCGGCUUUCUGGACUGUAACUGACGCUGAGGCUCGAAAGCGUGGGGAGCGAACAGGAUUAGAUACCCUGGUAGU